ACAAGGAGCCUGUCCUGACAGGUCAAGGAAGUAGGAACUCCAUUCAGUCAAAUCCACACAGUGGCCGAACGGUGCCUCACCUGCCAAUCUGUGGAACCCAUGGGGAGAGGCGUGGCGAUUCAUGUGCAGACAGGGAUAUUGAAUCCUGGGGUCUCACAGAAGCCACUGCACAGGCCCACGCUCUGCCCAUUCCCCACACUAGAUCAGACUGGAAAUCUCCUGGCCACAGAGACACGAGAAGACUGACUCUGCAAAGACGUUACACAAAGGGUUACAAAGCAAAACGAAGUUAAAACUCCAGUCACAGUCCCGGGCCCACUGACUAAGGCUAGUUCCCGAUGGCGUCCUCUGCGGUGUCUCCAGAUCAUCUCCCAGUCCUCUCAGGCUCCUCCAACCUCCACUGGAGACAAAGAAAAACGUGUUCUUCAUCCAGUGUUCAUCUUUUCAGUCUGGUUCUGCUCCCACGUCGCGAACAACGAAAGAAAUAUUCGUUUGUACAGUUUUUUUUCAAGUGAAAAG
Tupaia belangeri chinensis (Chinese tree shrew) is the source of this 519-nucleotide long non-coding RNA. RefSeq lists it as uncharacterized. The transcript is spliced from 3 exons. Lineage: Eukaryota; Metazoa; Chordata; Mammalia; Scandentia; Tupaiidae. The record is from RefSeq and is a predicted model, not a curated record.